AAAAAUAAAGGAGGUGGGUGGUUUUUUGUUCGUUGUUUUUGUAUUUAUUGUAUUGUUUUUUGUGGUUGUCGUAGGAAGAAGGAAGAAAGGUGUGAGUUUGGUGUUUAGGUGAUAGAUAAGAUUGUAUUUUAUAGAUUUUAAGAUAUUAUCGAUUGUGAGUAGAAUUAUUAUUUUAUAUGUUAGUAAAAAAGGUUAUUUUUUAAUUAUAAGAAGUUAUU
RNAcentral lists this unclassified non-coding RNA (218 nucleotides) under Hevea brasiliensis (rubber tree). The record is from RNAcentral. Lineage: Eukaryota; Viridiplantae; Streptophyta; Magnoliopsida; Malpighiales; Euphorbiaceae.